Molecule: ribosomal RNA, 439 nt
Filed under: uncultured bacterium
Lineage: Bacteria
Description: partial 16S ribosomal RNA
Rfam family: Bacterial small subunit ribosomal RNA
Source: RNAcentral
CUACGGGUGGCUGCAGUAGGGAAUAUUGCACAAUGGAGGAAACUCUGAUGCAGCAACGCCGCGUGGAGGAUGACACUUUUCGGAGCGUAAACUCCUUUUAUAUAGGAAGAGGAUGACGGUACUAUAUGAAUAAGCGCCGGCUAACUCCGUGCCAGCAGCCGCGGUAAUACGGAGGGCGCAAGCGUUGCUCGGAAUCACUGGGCGUAAAGAGCGUGUAGGCGGAUUAAAAAGUCAGAAGUGAAAUCCUAUAGCUUAACUAUAGAACUGCUUCUGAAACUCUUAAUCUAGAAUAUGGGAGAGGUAGAUGGAAUUUCUGGUGUAGGGGUAAAAUCCGUAGAGAUCAGAAGGAAUACCGAUUGCGAAGGCGAUCUACUAGAACAUUAUUGACGCUGAGACGCGAAAGCGUGGGGAGCAAACAGGAUUAGAUACCCGAGUAGUC